This 301-nucleotide ribosomal RNA is filed under the name uncultured bacterium. Its description in RNAcentral is "partial 16S ribosomal RNA". It matches the Rfam family "Bacterial small subunit ribosomal RNA", at positions 509 to 807 of the family's 1533-position model. The record is from RNAcentral.
CAGUAGCCGCGGUAAUACGGAGGGGGCUAGCGUUGUUCGGAAUUACUGGGCGUAAAGCGCACGUAGGCGGAUCUUUAAGUCAGAGGUGAAAUCCCAAGGCUCAACCUUGGAACUGCCUUUGAUACUGGGGAUCUUGAGUCCGGAAGAGGUGAGUGGAACUGCGAGUGUAGAGGUGAAAUUCGUAGAUAUUCGCAAGAACACCAGUGGCGAAGGCGGCUCACUGGUCCGGUACUGACGCUGAGGUGCGAAAGCGUGGGGGGCAAACAGGAUUAGAUACCCCGGUAGUCCCUGUCUCUUAUAC